AUAACUAAGCGGUGGAAAAGAAACCAACAGGGAUUUCCCCAGUAACGGCGAGUGAAGCGGAAAACGAAGCCCAGCGCCGAAUCCUCCGCGACUAACGUCCGGCAGGAACUGUGGCGUGAGGGACAAUAGCCAGUAGACGGAACGAACGCUCGAGUCCCCCCGAGCGGGGCCCAUCCCAUAGCGGGUGCCAGGCCUCUGCCAGCGUUUCGAUCGGUUUACCGCUGUUGUCCCCCGAGUCGGGUUGUUUGGGAAUGCAGCCCGAAGCGGGAGGUAAACUCCUCCUAAGGCUUAAUACUGGCGCGAGGCCGAUAGCGGACAAGUACCGCGAGGGAAAGUU
RNAcentral lists this ribosomal RNA (337 nucleotides) under Coryphellina lotos. RNAcentral describes it as "eukaryotic LSU rRNA". It matches the Rfam family "Eukaryotic large subunit ribosomal RNA", at positions 42 to 365 of the family's 3401-position model. Lineage: Eukaryota; Metazoa; Mollusca; Gastropoda; Nudibranchia; Flabellinidae. The record is from RNAcentral.